ACGUUGAAGUUACGUGAAAAACCAUAUAGUAUUUUUCCACUAGGUUUUUUCAUGUAGCUUUUAUGUGUUUUGAAACGUAACUUCAACGAGACUCGAGUGCGCAAUUCGGCCAAAUAUCUACGUGAUUAUUUUAGUGUGAAAAUUGAGUGCGUCCAGUUAAGACGUGCUGUCGGAUAUGUGUCCGUAAUAUUUGAUUGCAAUUGAACGAAUCCGAUCCUUGUGAGCAGCAUCAUUUUCCGGUAGCCAGUGAAAUGUUAGCCCCGUUUUUACAUUAGUGGCCGGAGCUACCGUGGUGUUUGACGCCACCGAAAAUAUCACGGACAUGGCCAGUUCAUGUACGCGGUUGUGUUCGGGUUGGACCUUUUCGUAGCGUAUCGCAAGCUGGGCAUCAACUCGAGUUCGACGACGUAAGCCCAAACAACACGACCAUCUACGACAACGAUUUCGAAACGGGUUCCCGUGCGACCAUGGUGGCCGGUGGAAUCAGCUAGCGUCGAUUGAACAUCCUCCUGCUCGGCCACAUUAGCGAUGUGGCCAAACGCAACGCAGCCGAACUGGAGCAGCACUCAAACGUGGUUCCCUGGACAUCAGUCUGCUGCGAUCGAUCGAUGAUCGCUGGUGCACAAAGAUAGGAGCAUCGACAUGGCAGAAGGCUAGGCAGAAGGUCACCCGCGAUCUUUUUGAAUAAGUGGCAAAAAGUGAAAUCACCCCGAAGAAAUUUAUAGUUAAUAAAGGAAAUGAGCUUUAACAAUUACUCCUUAUUUCUUCUUAUUUCCAUUCGAAAAAAAAUAAAUACUACAACCAUAAAAAUCAAAUAAUGUUUACUACAGAGCACGUAGAAUUCAUCAAUCGAUGCAUAUAGCUUCUACGUGUGAAACACGUAGAAACAAUGUGAAAUGAUCUGGCCAAGCAUAUUCCGUUUCUACUAGAGCCACCUCGUAGAAGUUACGUGAAAAGUUUAGUGGAAAAAUACCACAUAGCUUUUCACGUAACUUCAACGUGAAUAUUUUUUUGAGUGUAAGCUAAUCUAAAGUUGAGAUAUGGAGACGAGUGGAGAGAAAGUGAGUGUGAUUGCGCGGGGAGAAUCCUUCGAAAGGGAAAGGAAGAGCAUCGACGGAAACUGAACUCAAGAAGCGAAAGCAAACAAUAUGCAAAAGAAGAAGAGAGUUUUAAAUUAUGUCUAGUAAAGUGAGAAGAGGAAGAAGCUGAUGAAAACAAGAGGAGAAAAACUAAGAAAUAGAUGCAUAUUAGCAUGUAGAUGAUUACAUUCUCUGUGAUUAGAAAAUACGAAAACGAAAUAAAAACCGAAAAAUGUGAAAAUCCUACUAUAAAAAUCAUUUUUUUGAUUUAUUGUAACUAUAAUUUAAUAAAGUUCAAUUCAUUCUAGUUGUGGAAGAAGUGAAAAGCGUUGGUUUAAUAAAAUAAAUGAAAAUAUAUGAACGACAUGAUUAUGCAACAUAAAAAACACACACACACACAUGAUUUACUAUAGUUUUAAAAUGAACAUUUAAAUAAGUUAUGAUCCACAUGCUGAUUAAUAGAUUUUAAUCAUUUAAACUUACAAGCUUCUUACCGAUAUGAAACUGUUGAAAACUAAACCUGUAGAGGAGGAAAACACUCAAAAAAAGUUUUAAAUGCUAGUUGGUUUGUGUCUAGAAUAAAGAAAAACCAAGAAAAAAAUAGCAGUUUUGUUUUUUACUUUUAUAAUUCGAACGCUCUCUGACUUUUCAAAACUCCCCUUCUCGAACCUUCGACAAGCAAAAUUCCAAAUUAAAAAUUAAAAAAAAACUCUUCGAAACGUCCCCCAAAACCGACCCCGAACCGAAGCCAAUCCUCGAACCCUUGUUUUAAACUUGGUCGAUAAGAUUUGACAGCCAGACGUCACACACCGUCGGUCGCAGCCUCUCUCUCUGCCUUCUUUUAGAUCGAAUUCACAAGAACUCCAAGAGACGAGAGGAUUCUCCCCAACCUCCCAUUUUGUUUUGUUCAAGCUCAACCCAAUACUGACUCACUGGCCCCUUAAUUCGACCCCAUGGUUGGGCACGACUGCGACGCCACCGCCAUCUUGUGUGACUGUCAAUGGCCAGCCGCCAUCUUGUUUUUUUGUUAAAUUCGAUCCGUUCCCCAAAAGACAGCGUUCUCGGAAGAUUUCAACGAUCAUUGCACACACAAACCAACCAAACAGUUUUGCAUUCCUAAUGACUUAAGAUUUUGUACGAAAGAGAGAGAGAGAGAGAAAACCAUCAAAAAAACAAAACGAAACCAAUCAAUUUGUCGUUCAAAGCUAUUCUAUUUAAUUGCAAUGAAAGGAAAAAAAAUCACAAAACAAACAUAACCUGUAAUCGAUAAACAAAACAUACGAAAAAAGAAAGAAUAACAAACGAAACUUUUACUACAUUCAACCCUAUGACUGUCAAAUAUAAAUAAUAAUGGAAACACACAAAAACAAAAACCAACAAAAUCUAUCAAAUGCUACAAGCAACUUAAUGAAAUGAAUGUCGAUAAAGCAAAUUUCUGUGUUAUACAAACAAACAAAAAAAAAAACAAGAAUUAUAUUACCGGAAGCGUCCUCAAUCAGCAGAUACAUUAUCUAUUACACACACACACUUACAAACAGAUAACGUGACAAAAGAAGCAACAGGUUUUAUCGGUACCAUUAAAAGAUAAUCCAUAGCUUGAAGUGAGCAACAUUACCGAGAAAAAAUAUGAACAUAAGUAAAUAAACAAAACAUACACCGUGUAUUACUCUCUAAACUACCGUGUAUAUCAGUGAGUUGGAUCAAAAAAACGCAAGAAAGGAAAAAAGAGAAAUCAAACAAAAAAUAAAUAAAUCUUAUACACAAUUAAAACAGAAAAACAAAAACAAAACAAAAAAAUAUAUCGAGGGACACAUCUUUUGACAGAUCUGUCGGGCGACAGUUGUUGGCUGUUGUGUUGUAGCGUUGCAGCGCGCGAGAACGGAAUUUUGUUUGUUGAGUUUGUGAAAGUUUUGCGAAGAUUGUUAACAGAAGAAGAAGAAGGAUAAGGCAACACAGCACACACACAAUACGAGAGAAAGAGAGAUGGAGAGAAUCACCUAAAAUUACCACUGAAAUAUGAUGGGAAUCAAAAGAUGUGUUCGUAUGCAAAAAAAAAUGUAAGUUUAUGAAAAAAAUAUGAAUGAAAGAAUGUGUCAUGUAAUGAGUAACUUAAUUUACGAUAUGUGAAAUAAAGUGAAUAAUAAAGAUUUUUUGCUGAAUGAUUACAAAUAAAAAUCAUAAAAUC
This is a long non-coding RNA of Culex quinquefasciatus (southern house mosquito), 3264 nucleotides long. RefSeq lists it as uncharacterized. The record is from RefSeq and is a predicted model, not a curated record. The transcript has 2 exons. NCBI's taxonomy places the organism in Eukaryota, Metazoa, Arthropoda, Insecta, Diptera, Culicidae.